GAAAUGUGUCUGAAAGAUAAGAAUCUCCUUGAUAGGGAGAAUAAUAGGAGUUCAAACCUCCUCAUUUCU
Molecule: transfer RNA, 69 nt
Filed under: Rhinoderma darwinii
Lineage: Eukaryota; Metazoa; Chordata; Amphibia; Anura; Rhinodermatidae
Description: tRNA-Ile
Rfam family: tRNA
About the family: Transfer RNA (tRNA) molecules are approximately 80 nucleotides in length. Their secondary structure includes four short double-helical elements and three loops (D, anti-codon, and T loops).
Source: RNAcentral